GUAGUCCACGCCCUAAACGAUGUCUACUAGUUGUUGGGUCUUAAUUGACUUAGUAACGCAGCUAACGCGUGAAGUAGACCGCCUGGGGAGUACGGUCGCAAGAUUAAAACUCAAAGGAAUUGACGGGGACCCGCACAAGCGGUGGAUGAUGUGGAUUAAUUCGAUGCAACGCGAAAAACCUUACCUACCCUUGACAUGUCAGGAAUCCUCGAGAGAUCGAGGAGUGCCCGAAAGGGAACCUGAACACAGGUGCUGCAUGGCUGUCGUCAGCUCGUGUCGUGAGAUGUUGGGUUAAGUCCCGCAACGAGCGCAACCCUUGUCAUUAGUUGCUACGAAAGAGCACUCUAAUGAGACUGCCGGUGACAAACCGGA
Molecule: ribosomal RNA, 372 nt
Filed under: uncultured bacterium
Lineage: Bacteria
Description: bacterial SSU rRNA
Rfam family: Bacterial small subunit ribosomal RNA
Source: RNAcentral